Molecule: ribosomal RNA, 277 nt
Filed under: uncultured eukaryote
Lineage: Eukaryota
Description: partial 18S ribosomal RNA
Rfam family: Eukaryotic small subunit ribosomal RNA
Source: RNAcentral
UAGUCAUAUGCUUGUCUCAAAGAUUAAGCCAUGCAUGUCUCAGUGUAAACUUUUAAACAGUGAAACUGCGAAUGGCUCAUUAAAACAGUCAUAAUUUAUGUGAAAAUCUUUCUACAUGGAUAACCGUGGGAAUUCUAGGGCUAAUACAUGCGUACCCCGCAAGGGAUGUGUUUAUUAGAUUUAAACCAUCACUGUAGCAAUACAGUUCUGUUGGAAUAAUAAUAACCGAUCGAAUCGCAUGCGUAAGCGGCGAUAAUUCAUUCGAGUUUCUGACCUA